UAUACGGUGCGGAUGCCCAAUGCUUUGUGAUACACUCUCGAAGAGUCGAGUUGUUUGGGAAUGCAGCUCAAAUUGGGUGGUAAAUUCCAUCUAAAGCUAAAUAUUGGCGAGAGACCGAUAGCGAACAAGUACCGUGAGGGAAAGAUGAAAAGCACUUUGGAAAGAGAGUUAACAGUACGUGAAAUUGUUGGAAGGGAAACGCUUGAAGUCAGACUUGCUUUUCGGGGUUUACUCCGGUUGGCAGGCCAGCAUCAGUUUUCCGGGGCGGAAAUCACGGUUAGAAGGUAGCAGUUUCGGCUGUGUUAUAGCUUUCCGUUGGAUACGUCCUGGGGGACUGAGGAACGCAGUGUGCUUUUAGCGAGGGCUUCGGCCCUUUCACACUUAGGAUGCUGGUGGAAUGGCUUUAAACGACC
RNAcentral lists this ribosomal RNA (413 nucleotides) under Rhodosporidiobolus fluvialis. RNAcentral's name for it is "LSU rRNA". It matches the Rfam family "Eukaryotic large subunit ribosomal RNA", at positions 222 to 649 of the family's 3401-position model. Lineage: Eukaryota; Fungi; Basidiomycota; Microbotryomycetes; Sporidiobolales; Sporidiobolaceae. The record is from RNAcentral.